UUGUUAGAAGGUACUUAUUAAGCGAGAAUUUUGGAGCAAAUAUAGAGUGCAUGCAUAUCGUUCUAAUAUGAUCUUGUUGAAUAAUAUAAAUAAUAUUCAUUUAAGUGAUAUAUGUUUAUCGAAUAAACAGUUUUAAUAUUCAAAAUUAUGGUUUGUUGAGCUAGAGGUAUUAACAUAAAAUAAUAUAAAAUAAAUAUAUUGUAUUCGAUAUAAUCAAUAUAAACAGGUUAAACACGAUAAUACUAACAUUCGUUUAUGCAAGUCUGAUUUUUCAUUCGAAGUUAAUAUAUUAUAAUAAAAUUGAAACACGAAUAUUAACUGGACAUUCAAGUAACUAUCUUGUAUAUAUCUGAUUAAGUAUUAUGAAUUUACAGCAAGUGGAAGAAUUUUUAUUUAUAGCUUAUGCAAAUGUUUUAUAAAAGAUAAAAAUAGUUUUAUCUAUAUUUAGUAUCAUUUGUGACUAUUAACAUAUUUCUACAACUCAAUGAUGGAAAAUAAUAUGACAGAAGAA
Molecule: long non-coding RNA, 511 nt
Organism: Vespula pensylvanica (western yellowjacket)
Lineage: Eukaryota; Metazoa; Arthropoda; Insecta; Hymenoptera; Vespidae
Exons: 2
Source: RefSeq, a predicted model, not a curated record